AUCUGGUUGGCUCAGUUGGUAGAGCAUGAGACUCUCAAUCUCAAGGUAGUGAGUUCAAGCCCCACAAUGGGCA
RNAcentral lists this transfer RNA (73 nucleotides) under Felis catus (domestic cat). It matches the Rfam family "tRNA". Rfam says of the family: Transfer RNA (tRNA) molecules are approximately 80 nucleotides in length. Their secondary structure includes four short double-helical elements and three loops (D, anti-codon, and T loops). The record is from Rfam by way of RNAcentral. Lineage: Eukaryota; Metazoa; Chordata; Mammalia; Carnivora; Felidae.